UUUGAAAACAAACAAAUAAGAUACAAAUAGUGACAUUUGUUAGGGACUAUUUUCAGCGGCGGAUUAAUCCACAUGUGGAGCUCCAGUGAGUGUUAGUGUCAGCAGGACAGUGUUUGAGUGAUUGUGUGUGUGUUCAUGGUGAUGAAGGAAACAUGUCACCAUCAUUUACGUGUUUUAAUAGUUUCUAGACAACAGUGCAGCUCUAUGAUACAGGUCGUCUCUCUGUCUCUGUCUCUCAUUGAGACAUUUAGGAAAAUGUCCCGCGGUGUUUGGACGCGUUCGACACCGUCUAUCUGUUUUACCAAUCUGUGCCUGCCACGCUGCUUUAGCAUCAACCCGAGCAUGACAGCGAGCUGAGCCGGCUGCAGCGUGCUGCUGCUAAAAUAACACACACACACACACACACACUGUGCUUCAGGUAAAAACACACUGUUUCAUACAAAUACACAUUUGAUAUUUGAUUUACCAGAAUGGUGACUUGACAUCUAAACAGCCAACGGAAGCUUUCUUCUCUUUUUCUGGGAGUUAAAUUUUGCGUUUCUUUUGUAACUGAGCACGUCUUUUGGUCAUUCUAGACUUUAAGAAAAGCAUAUGUUUACUUUUUUGUUGCAAUACUACUAUUAAUACUAUUCUAUAAUACUCAUAUCCUAGCAAAAAUAAACUCUUAAA
Molecule: long non-coding RNA, 669 nt
Organism: Sebastes umbrosus (honeycomb rockfish)
Lineage: Eukaryota; Metazoa; Chordata; Actinopteri; Perciformes; Sebastidae
Exons: 5
Source: RefSeq, a predicted model, not a curated record